RNAcentral lists this ribosomal RNA (301 nucleotides) under uncultured bacterium. RNAcentral describes it as "partial 16S ribosomal RNA". It matches the Rfam family "Bacterial small subunit ribosomal RNA", at positions 509 to 807 of the family's 1533-position model. The record is from RNAcentral.
CAGUCGCCACGGUAAUACGGAGGGUGCAAGCGUUAUCCGGAUUCACUGGGUUUAAAGGGUGCGUAGGCGGGCAGUUAAGUCAGUGGUGAAAUCUCCGGGCUCAACCCGGAAACUGCCGUUGAUACUAUCUGUCUUGAAUACCGUUGAGGUGAGCGGAAUAUGUCAUGUAGCGGUGAAAUGCUUAGAUAUGACAUAGAACACCGAUUGCGAAGGCAGCUCACUAAACGGUCAUUGACGCUGAGGCACGAAAGCGUGGGGAUCAAACAGGAUUAGAUACCCCGGUAGUCCCUGUCUCUUAUAC